ACAGACCUACGGGACGCAGCAGUGGGGAAUAUUGCGCAAUGGACGAAAGUCUGGCGCAGCGACGCCGCGUGAGGGAUGAAGGUUUUCGGAUCGUAAACCUCUGUCAGGAGGGAAGAAAGCGCAUGGUGCCAAUCAGCCAUGCGUUGACGGUACCUCCGAAGGAAGCGCCGGCUAACUCCGUGCCAGCAGCCGCGGUAAUACGGAGGGCGCGAGCGUUAAUCGGAAUUACUGGGCGUAAAGCGCGCGUAGGCUGUUGUGUAAGUUGGGGGUGAAAUCCCACGGCUCAACCGUGGAACAGCCC
This 301-nucleotide ribosomal RNA is filed under the name uncultured bacterium. Its description in RNAcentral is "bacterial SSU rRNA". It matches the Rfam family "Bacterial small subunit ribosomal RNA", at positions 333 to 626 of the family's 1533-position model. The record is from RNAcentral.